UCCGGCUUGUCACCGGCAGUUUCCUCAGAGUGCCCAGCUCAACCUGAUGGCAACUGAAGGCGAGGGUUGCGCUCGUUUCGGGACUUAACCCAACAUCUCACGACACGAGCUGACGACAGCCAUGCAGCACCUGUGCAAAGUGUCCUCGCGGAAACGUACAUCUCUGUACGCGGCACUUCCAUGUCAAGUCCUGGUAAGGUUCUGCGCGUUGCGUCGAAUUAAACCACAUGCUCCACCGCUUGUGCGGGCCCCCGUCAAUUCCUUUGAGUUUCAACCUUGCGGUCGUACUCCCCAGGCGGGGUACUUCCUGCGUUAGCGCCGGCACCCAGAGGGUCGCUCCCCCAGGCACCUAGUACCCAUCGUUUACGGCGUGGACUAC
This 379-nucleotide unclassified non-coding RNA is filed under the name uncultured bacterium. Its description in RNAcentral is "contains 16S-23S intergenic spacer region". The record is from RNAcentral.